Molecule: ribosomal RNA, 508 nt
Filed under: uncultured bacterium
Lineage: Bacteria
Description: partial 16S ribosomal RNA
Rfam family: Bacterial small subunit ribosomal RNA
Source: RNAcentral
AUUGAACGCUGGCGGCAUGCCUUACACAUGCAAGUCGAACGGCAGCGGGGGAGAAGCUUGCCUUUCCUGCCGGCGAGUGGCGAACGGGUGAGUAAUACAUCGGAACGUGCCCUGUAGUGGGGGAUAACUAGUCGAAAGAUUAGCUAAUACCGCAUACGACCUGAGGGUGAAAGUGGGGGACCGCAAGGCCUCAUGCUAUAGGAGCGGCCGAUGUCUGAUUAGCUAGUUGGUGGGGUAAAGGCCUACCAAGGCGACGAUCAGUAGCUGGUCUGAGAGGACGAUCAGCUACACUGGGACUGAGACACGGCCCAGACUCCUACGGGAGGCAGCAGUGGGGAAUUUUGGACAAUGGGCGAAAGCCUGAUCCAGCAAUGCCGCGUGUGUGAAGAAGGCCUUCGGGUUGUAAAGCACUUUUGUCCGGAAAGAAAUGGCUCUGGUUAAUACCUGGGGUCGAUGACGGUACCGGAAGAAUAAGGACCGGCUAACUACGUGCCAGCCGCCGCGGUAA